RNAcentral lists this ribosomal RNA (253 nucleotides) under uncultured bacterium. Its description in RNAcentral is "partial 16S ribosomal RNA". It matches the Rfam family "Bacterial small subunit ribosomal RNA", at positions 524 to 776 of the family's 1533-position model. The record is from RNAcentral.
UACGGAGGGUGCAAGCGUUAUCCGGAUUCACUGGGUUUAAAGGGUGCGUAGGCGGGCAGGUAAGUCCGUGGUGAAAUCUCUGAGCUUAACUCAGAAACUGCCAUGGAUACUAUUUGUCUUGAAUAUUGUGGAGGUAAGCGGAAUAUGUCAUGUAGCGGUGAAAUGCUUAGAUAUGACAUAGAACACCAAUUGCGAAGGCAGCUUACUACACAGUUAUUGACGCUGAGGCACGAAAGUGUGGGGAUCAAACAGG